GUCACUGAUAUCUUCAAGGGGGUUAAAAAAAAAAAAAAGGUAAAGGAGACUGAUGGUCUGUCAAGGUGUGUGUGUGUGUGUGUGUGUGUGUGUGUGUGUGUGAGAGAGAGAGAGAGAGAGAGAGAGAGAGAGAGACAGAGAGUCAUUCUUGCAGCACAGUGGUAAAGUGCAGGGACUCACCCAGGCUUGGCCAGAGACUUUCCAACACAUUCUUCAGCAUCAGCAGGCCUGGAUCUUACAGACAAUUAGAGUUGUCCUGUCACUCAAAAUUUUUAAUUAUUUCAAUAAUAAAUUUGCUCUUAGUUUGAAUUAAUCUAUCAACUGAUACCAUCCCUAUGAUAUAAGCCUGAAGUAUUAUUAUCAUUACAGAGAAGGGUCAUAUAGAUAAAUUUAGACACCUUAGGUCAGAUCCUGAGAUGUCAAAAUAGAAAGCAUAUCUGGGCCACUAUCUCUGUGUUGGUGAUUUAAACCAUUACAGUCUGUUUUCUUCUAUAUUUAUUAUGAUGAUGAGCUUGCUUUUUGAAAUUGGUUCGUUCAGACUUAAGUAAUAUAGGAACAAAAAACACAAGUGAAGUGGGAAGACAGUUUUAAAAAAACUUACAUAUGGACCGUUUUAAAAUUAGGUCGUACUUUUUUUUUAACAUGUGGUGUUUUCAUUUCUUUAAUUUACAUUUCCUCAUUUUAACAAAACAGUGCAAAGUUGAACAUGUACUUCAGAACAUUAGUUAGUAGUACUGGGGUCUAAUGAUGAGUAAGUGGACAGAAAGGGGUUAACAUCAUAGGCUGGAAAGGCCUGUUUAUAAAGGUGGCCCUCCGUUGGCAUUGGGGAACUUGGAUUGGGAAGGAUUUCCACCAUUCCCAGAACUGAUCAGCAUGGCCUACUGUGCUUAAAUAAUUUGCAUGAAAGAUGUGGUUUAUGAUGAACACCUGCUUUCAUUCUGGGACUCUGGAAUUUUGAAGCAUGUCAGGCAGAGAGUGCU
Molecule: long non-coding RNA, 980 nt
Filed under: Marmota monax (woodchuck)
Lineage: Eukaryota; Metazoa; Chordata; Mammalia; Rodentia; Sciuridae
Source: RNAcentral